This 443-nucleotide ribosomal RNA is filed under the name uncultured bacterium. RNAcentral describes it as "partial 16S ribosomal RNA". It matches the Rfam family "Bacterial small subunit ribosomal RNA", at positions 338 to 795 of the family's 1533-position model. The record is from RNAcentral.
CCUACGGGAGGCAGCAGUGGGGAAUAUUGGGCAAUGGGCGCAAGCCUGACCCAGCAACGCCGCGUGAAGGAAGAAGGCUUUCGGGUUGUAAACUUCUUUUCUCAGGGACGAAGCAAGUGACGGUACCUGAGGAAUAAGCCACGGCUAACUACGUGCCAGCAGCCGCGGUAAUACGUAGGUGGCAAGCGUUAUCCGGAUUUACUGGGUGUAAAGGGCGUGUAGGCGGGAAAGCAAGUCAGAUGUGAAAACCAUGGGCUCAACCUGUGGCCUGCAUUUGAAACUGUUUUGCUUGAGUACUGGAGAGGCAGACGGAAGUCAUGGUGUAGCGGUGAAAUGCGUAGAUAUUAGAAGGAACACCGGUGGCGAAGGCAGUCUGCUGGGCAGCAACUGACGCUGAGGCGCGAAAGCGUGGGGAGCAAACAGGAUUAGAUACCCGGGUAGUC